This 83-nucleotide transfer RNA is filed under the name Candidatus Bathyarchaeota archaeon. RNAcentral's name for it is "tRNA-Leu". It matches the Rfam family "tRNA". From Rfam's summary of the family: Transfer RNA (tRNA) molecules are approximately 80 nucleotides in length. Their secondary structure includes four short double-helical elements and three loops (D, anti-codon, and T loops). Lineage: Archaea; Thermoproteati; Candidatus Bathyarchaeota. RNAcentral also lists the same sequence under 1 other name. The record is from RNAcentral.
GCGGGGGUUCCCGAGGGGCCAAAGGGGCGGGACUCAAGAUCCUGUGGCUCAGGCCUUCGUGGGUUCGAAUCCCACCCCCCGCA